Molecule: ribosomal RNA, 596 nt
Filed under: Bacillus sp. CSu4_3
Lineage: Bacteria; Bacillati; Bacillota; Bacilli; Caryophanales; Bacillaceae
Description: bacterial SSU rRNA
Rfam family: Bacterial small subunit ribosomal RNA
Source: RNAcentral
AUACAUGCAGUCGAGCGGACCGACGGGAGCUUGCUCCCUUAGGUCAGCGGCGGACGGGUGAGUAACACGUGGGUAACCUGCCUGUAAGACUGGGAUAACUCCGGGAAACCGGGGCUAAUACCGGAUGCUUGAUUGAACCGCAUGGUUCAAUCAUAAAAGGCGGCUUCGGCUGCCGUUUACAGAUGGACCCGCGGCGCAUUAGCUAGUUGGUGAGGUAACGGCUCACCAAGGCGACGAUGCGUAGCCGACCUGAGAGGGUGAUCGGCCACACUGGGACUGAGACACGGCCCAGACUCCUACGGGAGGCAGCAGUAGGGAAUCUUCCGCAAUGGACGAAAGUCUGACGGAGCAACGCCGCGUGAGUGAUGAAGGUUUUCGGAUCGUAAAGCUCUGUUGUUAGGGAAGAACAAGUACCGUUCGAAUAGGGCGGUACCUUGACGGUACCUAACCAGAAAGCCACGGCUAACUACGUGCCAGCAGCCGCGGUAAUACGUAUGUGGCAAGCGUUGUCCGGAAUUAUUGGGCGUAGAGCGCGCGCACGCGGUUUCUUAACUCUGAUGUGAAAGCCCGCGGCUCAACCGGGGAGGGUCAUUGGA